This is a non-coding RNA of Phyllosticta citrichinensis, 117 nucleotides long. NCBI's taxonomy places the organism in Eukaryota, Fungi, Ascomycota, Dothideomycetes, Botryosphaeriales, Phyllostictaceae. The record is from the annotation of a GenBank genome assembly.
GGCCUAUUAGUGUAGUGGUUGAGCACUCCGGAUUUUGAGGAGUAAGCAGGAUUUCAUACAAUUCUGCGUUACCUUCGAAAAAUUCCGGCAACCCCGGUUCGAAUCCGGGAUAGACCU